UUUUUUUUUUUUUUUUGGAUUUUGAGAGGUUUUAGGCUUGGUUCUUUGACAAUACUCAUUUUAUAUUCAAGAAAUUUGAAAACGAUUUUCUAAUUCUAAGUUUUGAGAAAGGUUUUGUCUGAAGUUACUUUGAAAUUCUUGGUUUGCUGCUCGGGUCGAAGUUGUGCGAGAAGUCGCUCUCUUUCAAGUUCGUGUCGUCCAGUCACUGCUCCGAAAGAGGUGAUAUUUUGUUUCUUUUGUUUUGUUCUUUGUCUAAUAUGAUGCUUUGGUUCAUAUAUGGUAUUAAUAUUAUAGUUUGUUCAGUUUUUUUUUGUUUUUUUAUUUCAUCUUAAAUUGAAUCAGUUUGCAUUGUAUUUUUGGAAUUACUAGUUGACUUUGAAUUAUAAAAUCAACGUUGCCAAUUUAAUUUGUCUUUGUUAGUUUAAGUAGUGACUAAAUCGAGAAGCUCUUAUUUUUUGGCCCUAUGCUUGUCCUACUAUUCUUGAAAAGGAAGUAUUGAAUAUUAGCCUAACCUCAUGUAUUUGAUCUCUGCUCCCGACUUUGGACUACAAUAUUUCCCUUUGAGUUUGGAGCCUUUACAUUAAAUUUCUCUACUCAUCAUAUAUCCGGUUUAAGUCCUUAAUUUGUUGAAUGAAUAAUCGAAUACCAAUUAAAAUCUUUUGUCGAUUUAGCAUGAGUCCUGCAAAUGACUAAAAUUACAUAAGGUGCUCAUCCCCUUCUUAUUUUGUUUCUUACGUUGUCCUCUUGCUUAAAUGGGGUAAAAUAUAUAUUUUCCAUAAUGCUCAUUAUUAUUAUCUUGGAAUCAUCGGGAUGGAAGCUAUGAUUUUUAGGUUAGAAUAAUACAUUCCAAUAUAUCUCGAUAGCGUGAACACAGCCACAACUAUAAUUCCUUUUCUUCCUUGAUAGUUUAGGAUCUAUAAUACAUUGUUUUCUUGUAAUAUAUCAAUUGUGGCCUAUAAAUUUUGUAUUGUGUCUUCUAAUGGCUUUUCUGGGCAUUUAAGAGGACCAAAUAUGUUCCAUAUUACUUAGGAGGGGGCUGCCAGCCUUUAUUUUUCUCCAUAUGUUUAAUAUAUGGCUUUCUAUAGUUUGUCAUUUUAGUGUUUGAGUAGAUAUAGUCUUAUCAUCUUCAUCUUUAAUGCUUUGACGUUCUCUACUUAAGUUCUCAUGUAGACAUAUAUGCGAUAAAAUGGAGUGUUUAUUGAAUUAGCUCGACCUCUCUGUUUUAGUGUGAUGUCGUUUAAAGGUCUCAAAUUGUAAACUUAUUAUUUGUUUGUUUCAUUCACUUUGAUUUAAGUAUAAGUUUGGUCCCUGCUCAUUUAGGUUGUUACUCGUUAGUUCUUUAUGAUCAUCAAGCUUGUAAUGUUGUUGGAAUUUGUAAAUUAGGAUGUUUUCUAUCCCACCUAUAAUAAUGUGUGCUAUAGAUAAUUAAGGUUUUGUUGGUUAUUUUCACAAACACACAAGAUUCUGAUGCCUCUGUUCUGGUCGAUGUCAUCCUUACAUUUAGCGAUGUUUACUGACUUGUUUGAUGCCAGAUAAUCGAUCUUGUCCCUUACUUGAGUUUUAUUGCCUUCAAUUAAAGUAUUUCAGAGUCUGAAUUUGUUUUAAGUUUCAGACAAUUUGAUAAGAUUUGGUAAUGAAUAACUUCUCACUCCUUUCCCUUCCCAUUUAUCGUGUGAAUAUUGACAUUUUAAUUUAAAGGUAAUAUAGUUGUUGUAUCUGUGACUUUUUUAUUUUAUUUUAUUUUUUUCUUACUUUCAAUGAAAUGAUCGUAGCUACUACCAUCUAACUAACUCUUAUCUUUCAUAUGAAAAGGUGAGAAGUUUAUAUGUGAUAAUGUUCUCUUCUUCUACGUCUCACUUUAUGCCAUUUCUUUUAGAAAUUGAUGUCCAUUUAGUUGAAUAUUCCUUUCAGAUUAGUAUCCAAUUUGUUGAAAGUGUUAAUUUAAUCAUGUCAAGGAUAGGUGGUAUUAAAAUGAUUUUUAAGAAGUCUAGUGCCUUUUAUUCCUCUUUCAUUUGUUUUUAUUUUUUUUAAAUAAAUUAUCUUACCUCUCGUUGUGGAGAUUCCAAAUGUGGACUUGCAUAUAUUUAUUAGCUUAGGUGCUUUAUCAUGAUUUGGAUUAAUUCUUAUAUGUGUGUUUUAUGAUGCAUGUGAAAAUCGAUGGGUCCAAUAUGGACUCCAUUCCUGCAUAUCUUCGAGUUGGUUCAUUUCUGAGUCAACUCCAUCAUGAUUCAAGUGAAGUGGAAGCGAAUAUACGGGUCUUGAAAGUUGAAACACGGGUUCAAACAACAUCCCACUUUUGGACCACAGUGAAUUUAGGCCAAAAGGACCUAAAUUCAAUCUCUCCCUUACUCUUUAAUUAUUUAAUUGUAAUUACUUAUUGUUUGUUGUUUAAUUCUAACUUUAAAAUUAUUAAUUAACUUAAUUAGAUUCCCCAAAAGAUGAGUUAUUUUCUUUGUGUCGGU
This 2462-nucleotide long non-coding RNA is filed under the name Solanum tuberosum (potato). RNAcentral's name for it is "long non-coding RNA (STUB_LNC000701)". Lineage: Eukaryota; Viridiplantae; Streptophyta; Magnoliopsida; Solanales; Solanaceae. The record is from RNAcentral.